UAUAUUCAACUUUUCACUGCACUUUACAAGUUCCUGCCUUCAGCCGGUCUCGUUUGUUCUUUUUCUUAAGAAAUUUUUUAAUUUUUUUUUUUUUUUUUGGAUUUCAUUUAAGGUUUUUCUUUACAAAGGAAAGGGGUCUUUCUUGCCUCCUUCCUCAGGCGGCUUGGGUCUAAAGUGCAAACUCUCCCGAGACUUCGACCCUUCUUCCAGCUCCAGAUCUCUCCCCACCCCCUACGAGCCCACCCCUUAGACUUUCUCCCUCCCCACCGAGCGAGCGCGCCCCAGGGCCGGACGCCUGCUCCCGAGCGUACUCGCUGCGGGACCAGCACCCAGGGCGCUGCAGACGGUACAGGGGGAUCAAGCCAGAGAGCAGUGAGAGCAUCUUUUCUGCACCAUCCCGUCCAUGUCUUGGGCAACAGGCAGGUCAACAUUGAGGCAGGAGACCGUCAAGUCAAAGAAGCCACGGGUGCCUCACUGACCCCUCAUUCACCGUGAUCACCUCAACCGCGUGACCCAAAGACCAUUGAAUCCAAGCUUGGCCCCAUAUGGCGCCACCCUGGGCCUUGGAAUUACUAGCCAGACACUGUUCUCACUUCAGAGGGUAUGAUGGAUAGGAUUGGACCAUUUAAACAAGCAGAGCAAAUAUAAUUCCUGAACAAGACCAUGCUUUAGGUGCCACAUAGUGGCCUUAAAACCAACCAGCAUCCUUGAGAAGAUUAUAAAUGUCAGUAUUUGAUUUUUUUUUUUUUUUUUUUUGCUUUAUCACCCCUUUUUGAGCAUUCUUACUCUCGAGCCCAGGCUAAUAGACAUGGCAAUGCUCUUGGCAGCCAACCGACAUGUUAAUAAAUACAAGGAGCCCAUGUGCCUGUGUCA
This 873-nucleotide long non-coding RNA is filed under the name Sus scrofa (pig). RNAcentral's name for it is "lncRNA (ENSSSCG00060057625.1)". The record is from RNAcentral. Lineage: Eukaryota; Metazoa; Chordata; Mammalia; Artiodactyla; Suidae.